UGUGGGAGCGAGCUUGCUCGCGAUGAGGGCGUUACUGCCGACAUUAAUAUUGGCUGAUCUGCCGCCAUCGCGAGCAAGCUCGCUCCCACA
This 90-nucleotide unclassified non-coding RNA is filed under the name Pseudomonas jessenii. The record is from RNAcentral. Lineage: Bacteria; Pseudomonadati; Pseudomonadota; Gammaproteobacteria; Pseudomonadales; Pseudomonadaceae.